RNAcentral lists this ribosomal RNA (254 nucleotides) under uncultured bacterium. RNAcentral describes it as "partial 16S ribosomal RNA". It matches the Rfam family "Bacterial small subunit ribosomal RNA", at positions 524 to 776 of the family's 1533-position model. The record is from RNAcentral.
GACGAACCGUGCGAACGUUAUUCGGAAUCACUGGGCUUAAAGCGCGUGUAGGCGGGCCGCCACGUCGGCUGCUGAAAUCCCCCGACUCAACCGGGGAACGGGCACCGAUACGAGCGGCCUCGAGGUGGGUAGGGGGGUCUGGAACUUCCGGUGGAGCGGUGAAAUGCGUUGAGAUCGGAAGGAACGCCCGUGGCGAAAGCGAGGCCCUGGACCCUUACUGACGCUGAGACGCGAAAGCCAGGGGAGCGAACGGG